GGGAUUUGGUAUAGUGGCAUUAUGCUCGCUUCGGGUGCGAGAGGUCCCGGGUUCGAUUCCCGGAAUC
This 67-nucleotide transfer RNA is filed under the name Geminigera cryophila. It matches the Rfam family "tRNA". Rfam says of the family: Transfer RNA (tRNA) molecules are approximately 80 nucleotides in length. Their secondary structure includes four short double-helical elements and three loops (D, anti-codon, and T loops). Lineage: Eukaryota; Cryptophyceae; Pyrenomonadales; Geminigeraceae. The record is from RNAcentral.